GACACGUGAAAAACUUUUCUCCUACAAAUAACGCGGAGCACUCCGAAACCUUAGUUCUUAACAUGGAUAUAAACCUAAGAGAAUUCAAGUUAGAAUCGUAGUAGGUAUUCUUUGCUUAAUUUCUAGUGCACUCCAUGCGUAAAGGCGUUGCUUAAUUUCUUGUAUCGUAAAACUAAAACCCUCCUUUUGGUUUAGCUUCUGCGUUGAAAGAUACAGAGAAGAAAGGCAUAUUAAUACAAAUCAAGAAACCAAGAUGAUCCGAGUAAUGGAUGAAAGAGAAGUCAGUCUUCAUUUACAGGCAAUUCCAUGCCGAUUGUUGAGGUUUCUUGUUCCUUUUGGAUUGUUCAGAACAUUCGCAGGCCAAAUAUGGAGAUUAUUUGCAGGCCAAUGCCAGAAUUUGUGCGAUUUCAUAUCGGUGAAGCUUGCAGAAGAGGCAGCGAAGCCUGUGAUUUUGGGUCCCCCUUUACAUGAUAAGUGUAAAUGAUGCCAUGGAAAAGAACUCAUUCAUGUUCGACUUACUUUUACUAAUAGUUAUUGAACUUUAAUAAUGUGGAGAUUUUUACCUUUCUUAUACAGAUUCUUCGUUAAUUGUGUUUUCUUGAUUUAAUUUUAUGUACAGUAUUACGUUUGAAAGAAAAUUGCAGCAUUGGUCACCAAGUUGUGAGGUUGAGCAGCUACUUUUAUGUGUUAAUAAAGCAUCGUGACCCUUUGGUGGGUCGAUCAAUUGCAUUGGGUAAUAGAUGAAGGAUCUAUCUUAAUUGCUAGUGCAUUUGCCAUUCGUUCCGUCAUCAAAUCUACACGGUCUAGUGGAUUGGAUAGAGUUUGAUCCUAGCUUAGAAAGAACACAAGUUCUAUGCUUAACACAUGCGAGUCGACAAGAUCCUGCUUUCUAGUCUCCCUUUCAACCUUGUAUUAGGAUAUCGGGGAAUAACAGUUUAUGAGGUUCUAAUAUCUUAAGCAAAAUAUAUUUGGUAGCUUAAGUGAAUAUAUCAAAUAGGGUAAAUAGCACAAAACAUCCCCAUCUUUCAAUGUUAUUGUGCAAAACGUCUAUACCUUUCAUUUUUUGACAUUUUCACCCUAUUUGCCACCUUUCAUUGCGCAAAAUGUUAUUUUCAUUCAUUUUUCCAAUAAAAAGAUAAUUUUACCCUCGUAUUCAAAUAAAAGAACUAAAUAGCAACUGUUACGUUCCUAUCCGAACCAUUUCGGAGAGUCUACCUCUGCCUAUUACGAGGUGUUCAGCACCCAUCCAAAGUAGUUCCGAAGUUACUUCACCACCAAUGUUGUCGAUCUGCUAACACACUGUGUGGCAUAGACAAUUCUGCCGAAUCGACCAAAGCAUCCUCGCCCAUGAAGCCGAGGCGCACUCCGAGGACCUCUGCCAGGAUCCGCCGUCAAUUCCAGAAAGAGAUCUAUGUCAGGAUCCUUUCUACCCCUAAGGUUUAAUUGAUUUGACAUCUAUAUGAGCCUAGUUGAUGUGACGUAUCAACUUUAUUUCAACUCAACUCGAGAGAAGUAAUUACUCGCCUACUCUAUAGACGCGACUGAUUGACGCCUAUAAGUAGAUGCCUCACACCGCCAAAUGCAUACAGUUCGAUAACAAGAAGAUAUGAGACUUAUGCGACGAACUGAGCAUAAAGAAGGAUUUCUCAACACCUCAUCACCCACAAGCAAAUGGGCAAGUUGAGGCAGUAAACAAAACAAUCAAGCAUACCCUGAAAAGGAAGCUUGACACCUCGAAGGGGGCUUGGGUCGAUGAGCUUUUCCACGUCCUCUGGGCCAUCAGAACAACUAGCCGAAUUGCAACAGGGGAGACACCCUUUUCAAUGACCUACGAAGUCGAGGCCAUGAACCCGGUCGAGGUAGGAGUCCCAUCGCACCGUCGAAUACACUUCAAUGAGAUCAAUAAUGACGAGGCUCGAAUGAGCGAACUCCACCUCCCUGAAAAAAGGAAGGAUACCUCCCAGGUGAACUUGACAAAGUAUCAUAGAAAGAUGACCCGCUAUUAUAACUCCAAGAUCAGAAAUCAGACUCUUCACCUGGGGGACCUCGUCCUUAGAAGGGUCUUCCAAUCAUCAAAGCCAACUAGGUCCGAAGUGUUGGGAAUGAACUAAGAGGGUCCUUAUCGCAUCUGUAGGGAAUCCCGACCUGACACAUUUGAAAUUGAAGACAUGGCAGGGAAAGCACUGCCUCAUCAAUGGAACAUCGAACACUUGAGGAAGUACUAUUAGUGAUGAACUUGUGUUCCUAUCCGAUCUCAAUGUUGUCUAGUAAAUGUGUCAUGAUCCGAUCUCAUUUGUAACUUCCCUAUCUUACUAAGUGCUGAAAAUGCCUUAGUGAAGGGUGAUGUAACUUCUCUACGUAAUGAUACUUCAGUUCUUUAUCACAUCGGUUAGUAAAUUGUUACCUCAACUCUUUAAUAUGUUAAUUAGUCCGAUCUCCUGUUAUUAACCGGUUAUUGGUAAAUGGCGCUUCAUGUUUACUUAAGUGAUUUUCAUUCAUAUACUUAAGUGUAAACGACUCAACAAACAAUGAAAAAAGCAGAAGCAACAAUACUUGACAAAAAUUUCACUUCAUUCAUUUGAAAUUGGAUUACAAAAGAGGCCGAGUCCAUUACAAAGAUUAACUCUUUUCUACGGGGGCAUCUUCCACCCCGGCCUCCGCCUCGCCUGCCCUAGGUGCCUCUGGAGCGUCCUCGACGAACAUAUCAAGCCGACCUCCAGUAGGCCUACCGAACUCUGCCUCUAACGAGGAUAUGUCCAGAAUAGGAUGAACCUCUUUCAGCCGACACAAUAAUCCUUAGACGCUCUAGGAAGCCCAGAAGUUUGCAAAGUUGUUGUACAGGGGGUGAUCUUCGAAGUGGUCGAUGAAGUUCUGUACAGCCACCUCCCCUUCCAACUUCAUCUCCACCUUCAGAGAGGCGAUCUCCUCAGCUUGGGCAUCCGCCCUCUGCCUCAGCUCCGCCUUUUCUUUAUUAGAGGCCUUCAGAGCCUCCGUGGCGAGCCGGUGGUGCUUGUUUGCAUGAUCAACUCUUCAGGUAAUAGUAGCCACCUGGCACUCCACUUCAUAGAGCUCCUUCUUCAGCCGCUCUAUAUCCCCCUUGGCAGUUACCAGCUGGGCCUCAGCCUCCUUACUUCCUCUCUUUUCCUCCUCGACCUUAGCUCGGGCCUCCCUCACUGCGUCACCAUAUUGCAUCGCCUCCUCAAAGCGCUUGGUGAGGCACUCCCUCUUAGCGUUGAGGUCUUUCACCAAGCCCUCAAGUAGGAUGCUUGUGCUUAAGGCCCGGGCCACAUAAGCACUGUUGAUCGCAACCAAGUCCUCGACAGUGCAGGAGGUGGUGUGAUCUCUUCAUUCCUCGGUCCAAUACUUAUUGUGGACUAUCGCCACCGCAGCCGUCUCUGGAGGAAGAGCCUCCAGCACUUCUUUCACUGGCUCAUUAGAAUUGGUGCCCAAGAAAUCCACCUCCAUCGAGGGACGGGCCCUUUUCCUCUUUGGCUACCCUGGCACUUGGGCAAUGGGCACAACAGCUACUGGCGAUGUGGCUGGGGGUAGGAAAAGCCUCUGAUGGAGCAGGCGUCUUCUCCGGGAUUACCAUCUCGGUACGAAUUGUUGUCUGCCUCAGAGCCGGAGGCGGCCUCGCCACAGUUGGGCGCUUUGAGGGACAGCAGGCUUCUUGUCCUUUCGCAGCAGGUUUGCAUCUAGAUCCUCCACCACCUGCUCCUCGGUUGGAGGCUGGAGCCUAUUGUUGGCAUCCACCAGAUCCUCCAUCUGCUUUUUGUACACAGAGGAGGAGGUAUUCAGGGCUCUUGCCUCUGCCAUCAUCUUUUGGAUGGUUUUGAAGUCUGGCCUCAGAGGUAGCUUCUUGUUAAAAUUAUCUGUAAGGGAACAAGUACUUUAGUACAAGUGUAAACAGUUCAGAAAGUGCUGAAAGAUAUUCGCUUCGGGACAUUUACCUUGAGAGGCCAUCAAGUCGUGCGUUACGAAGUGGAUGUUUUUUCUGAUCAGCUGGUGGUAUGAUCUUCUCUUUGGAGGCAUCUAGUAAAUGAUGCAGAUGAUAUCGAAGUCGUCGGUGGAUAACUCACACCAAGGAAGAGUGCCUUAAAAAACAAACAGAGUAGUUAAGAACCGAACCGAAGAAGAAUAAACAAGAAACAUAAAGCCACAGUACUCACUAAGUGUUGAAUAUUUCGUGGGGACUGUGAGAAGCACCAGGGGGUCCCCUUCCAUCGUGUCCCAUCUCCCGAUAGCCCAGCACCACGAGCUCUUCCACUCCUUAAUGAAGCUCGACAGAUCAAGCACGAAUAGAGUGUGGGAACCCCAUGAGGUCAAGUAGUACCAGCCCCUGGUCUUAUCUUCCCAGCCACUACCUUGGGGAUGUAGAGGGUUUGGAAUACAGAAAAAAGGCAUCUCUACCCCAAGUGACGCCUCCUUUCAUGACAUCUAGGAGCCCACCAUUUGGCUUCAGGAGUUCGGGUUCAAUUGGGUAGGAGUUAAGUCGUAUGACCUAAGUAACAUACGGAAGAAAGGAUGGAUUGGGAGCCUAAGGUUAGCCCUAAGGAUCACCUCACUAAUUGCCACGCACCCUGGCCUAGGGUAGCAGGCCCGCUCAUCAGGUUCAAGUAGGAUCAAAUCUACACUAUCUGGGAUCGUAUAUUCAGCCCUAAGUCUUUCCAGGUCGAUACCCUUUAGCUUAGAGGGGUAAUUCGACGCCCCCCAAUGCACAUAUGUGUCUAUUGGGCUAUUUGGUCUCUUUCAUAUGUUCUCCCCCCAAUAAUCGCUUCGAUUAUUUCAGAGGAGGUUGCCAAAAUGGGCUCGUCCAUCCUCACUAGUUCCAACCCCUCCCCGAGCUACCACUACCCUCAGAAGUCAUUUACAGAAAUGAAAAGUUUCAAAUACUUACUGAAACUUUCGAAAUGGAGUGUCCCGCAGUCGAAAAUGGUCAAGAAACAACUUAAGUCACUGAAAACUGGGAUUUCUCUUCGAAAAGUGCUUGAAGAAUGUCGAAAAAUGCAAAGAUUUUGAGAGCAAAUGGGGUUUUUGAUUUUAAAAAAGUGAAAAGCUCCAAAAAUGCUUAAGUCCACCUUUUAUAGAGCGUCCCAACUGAUCUCCACCGUUGAAUUCAAAUGCAAUCAAUCUAGGCUGUCCGUCGCAUUAUUAAUCUAGGCCGUUGAAAUGAAACGCCAUAUUUGAUCUACGCCUAAGAUCUAGCUGUGACCUCUACGCUCAUGCGAAAUGCGUUGCCUCGAUCACCAUUAGCCGUCUACAAUAAGUAAACGCAGCAAUCUUUUCUAGGAAUGUGCAUCGUACCCAACUGUCGCCUUGAAAAUACACGACACCUGUCAAAUCAUUUAACGUCAAAGAUGCCCGCCUCAGAUCGAGCUUUUGACUUAGCUUUACAAAACUUAGACGCACCUGAAGUGGAGUCUCCUGUGGGUCAUUGCCUCGAUAGCAGCGUUCCCUCCUAAACUUUACAAAGUUUUAGCCAUCUUCUAACGCGUCAUCCCCAGUGGGUCAGUGCACCGGUGUUAAUGAGCUCCUCACUCAGCUUUACAAAACUUAGACGCACUUGACACGGAGUCCCCUGUGGAUCAUCGCCUUGGUAGCUGCAUUUCCUCCUAAACUUUACAAUAAGCUUUACAAAGUUUUAGCCAUCUCCCAACGCGUCGUCCCCUGUGGGUCAUCGCCUUGGUAGCUGCAUUUCCUCCUAAACUUUACAAUAAGCUUUACAAAGUUUUAGCCAUCUCCCAACGCGUCGUUCCCUAUAGGUCAGCGCACCGGUGGUAGAUGAGCUUCUUGCUUAGCUUUACAAAGCUUAGACGCACCUGGCGCGAAGUCUCCUGUGGGUCAUCGCCUUGGUAGCUGCAUUUCCUCCUAAACUUUACAAUAAGCUUUACAAAGUUUUAGCCAUCUCCCAACGCGUCGUUCCCUAUAGGUCAGCGCACCGGUGGUAGAUGAGCUUCUUGCUUAGCUUUACAAAGCUUAGACGCACCUGGCGCGAAGUCUCCUGUGGGUCAUUACCUUGGUGGCUGCAUUCCGUCCUAAGCUUUAUAAAGCUUUAACCAUCUACCAACGCGUCGUCCCCUGUGGGUCAGUGCACCGGUGGCAGAUGAGCUCCUCACUCAACUUUACAAAACUUAGAUGCACCUGAUGUGGAAUCCCCUGUGGGUCAUCGCCUCGGUAGCUAUGUUUCCUCCUAAACUUUACAAAGCUUUAGCCAUCUUCCAACACGUCAUCCCCUGUGGGUCAGUACACCGGUGGCAGAUGAGCUCCUCACUCAACUUUACAAAACUUAGAUGCACCUGACGCGGAGUCCCCUGUGGGUCAUCGCCUCGGUAACUGCGUUUCCUCCUAAACUUUACAAUAAGCUUUACAAAACUUUAGCCAUCUCCCAACGUGUCGUCCCCUGUGGGUCAGCGCAUUGAUGGCAAAUGAGCUUUUCGCUCGUUUUACAAAGUUUAGUCGCACCUGACGCGAAAUCCCAUGUGAGUCAUUACCUCGGUAGUUGCGUUCCCUCCUAAACUUUACAAAGCUUUAGCCAUCUCCCAAUGCGUUGUCCCUUAUGGGUCAGCGCACCGAUGGCAGAUGAGCUCCUCACUCAACUUUACAAAGUUUAGACGCACCUGACGCGGAAUCCCCUGUGGGUCAUCGCCUCGGUAGCUACGUUCCCUCCUAAGCGUUACAAAGCUUUAGCCAUCUCCCAACGCGUCGUCCCGUGUGGGUCAGCGUACUAGUUGCAGAUGAGCUCCUCACUCAACUUUACAAAGUUUAGACACACCUGACGCGGAUUUCCCUGUGGGUCAUCACCUCGGUAGCUGCAUUCCCUCCUAAGCUUUAUAAAACUUUGGCUGCCUCCCAUUGCAUCAUCCUAUAGGCCAGCACAUCAGUUAAAGAUAAGUUCCUUCCUUAGUCAAUGAUAAAGCUUUAUUUCAUCUAUCAAAAAUAUUUCCCGACAUACAUCGCUUCGGUAAAAAAAGGAAAACCAACCCGCAAGCUCUUACAAAUCGAGGUUCUUGUCCCAAGGCAGACAUACCCGAUCGGAAAAACAAGUCCACCCAUGAUAUAAAUAUUCAUGCCUAAACUUGGGGGUACCACUGUUACGCCCCUAUCCGAACCACUUCGGAGAGUAUACCUCUGCCUAUUACGAGGUGUUCAGCACCCAUCCGAAGUGGUUCCGAAGU
This 7175-nucleotide long non-coding RNA is filed under the name Olea europaea (common olive). Its description in RNAcentral is "long non-coding RNA (OEUR_LNC002481)". Lineage: Eukaryota; Viridiplantae; Streptophyta; Magnoliopsida; Lamiales; Oleaceae. The record is from RNAcentral.